This 860-nucleotide ribosomal RNA is filed under the name Fusarium oxysporum. RNAcentral's name for it is "eukaryotic LSU rRNA". It matches the Rfam family "Eukaryotic large subunit ribosomal RNA", at positions 68 to 961 of the family's 3401-position model. The record is from RNAcentral. Lineage: Eukaryota; Fungi; Ascomycota; Sordariomycetes; Hypocreales; Nectriaceae.
ACAGGGAUGCCCUAGUAACGGCGAGUGAAGCGGCAACAGCUCAAUUUGAAAUCUGGCUCUCGGGCCCGAGUUGUAAUUUGUAGAGGAUGCUUUUGAUGCGGUGCCUUCCGAGUUCCCUGGAACGGGACGCCAUAGAGGGUGAGAGCCCCGUCUGGUUGGAUGCCAAAUCUCUGUAAAGCUCCUUCAACGAGUCGAGUAGUUUGGGAAUGCUGCUCUAAAUGGGAGGUAUAUGUCUUCUAAAGCUAAAUACCGGCCAGAGACCGAUAGCGCACAAGUAGAGUGAUCGAAAGAUGAAAAGCACUUUGAAAAGAGAGUUAAAAAGUACGUGAAAUUGUUGAAAGGGAAGCGUUUAUGACCAGACUUGGGCUUGGUUAAUCAUCUGGGGUUCUCCCCAGUGCACUUUUCCAGUCCAGGCCAGCAUCAGUUUUCCCCGGGGGAUAAAGGCGGCGGGAAUGUGGCUCUCUUCGGGGAGUGUUAUAGCCCGCCGUGUAAUACCCUGGGGGGGACUGAGGUUCGCGCAUCUGCAAGGAUGCUGGCGUAAUGGUCAUCAACGACCCGUCUUGAAACACGGACCAAGGAGUCGUCUUCGUAUGCGAGUGUUCGGGUGUCAAACCCCUACGCGUAAUGAAAGUGAACGCAGGUGAGAGCUUCGGCGCAUCAUCGACCGAUCCUGAUGUUCUCGGAUGGAUUUGAGUAAGAGCAUACGGGGCCGGACCCGAAAGAAGGUGAACUAUGCCUGUAUAGGGUGAAGCCAGAGGAAACUCUGGUGGAGGCUCGCAGCGGUUCUGACGUGCAAAUCGAUCGUCAAAUAUGGGCAUGGGGGCGAAAGACUAAUCGAACUUCUAGUAGCUGGUUUCGCG